This 392-nucleotide ribosomal RNA is filed under the name uncultured bacterium. Its description in RNAcentral is "partial 16S ribosomal RNA". It matches the Rfam family "Bacterial small subunit ribosomal RNA", at positions 523 to 918 of the family's 1533-position model. The record is from RNAcentral.
AUACGGAGGAUCCGAGCGUUAUCCGGAUUUAUUGGGUUUAAAGGGUGCGCAGGCGGCCAUUUAAGUCAGCGGUUAAAUCGUGGGGCUCAACCCCAUUCUGCCGUUGAUACUGGGUGGCUUGAUUGCGGUCGAGGUUGGCGGAAUUCGUUGUGUAGCGGUGAAAUGCAUAGAUAUGACGAAGAACACCGAUUGCGUAGGCAGCUGACCAGAUCGCAAAUGACGCUCAUGCACGAAAGUGCGGGGAUCGAACAGGAUUAGGUACCCUGGUAGUCCGCACAGUAAACGAUGAAUACUUGUUUUCGGCGAUAUAAUGUCGGAGGCAAAGCGAAAGCGAUAAGUAUUCCACCUGGGGAGUACGCCGGCAACGGUGAAACUUAAAGGAAUUGACGGGG